UUUAAACAGAACCAUGAGUUUUCUGUCUAACUUUGAUCAUCGUCUUAUUUAGAAUUUUUUUUUAUGAUUAGUGUUUUUAUUGUUAUUCGAUGAUAAAACAUAAAUAGUGAUUUAUGCAUGACAUAUUUUUUUUUUAAAAAAAAUAUUUUUAAAAUAAAACGGAAGAUUAAAGAUGGAAUUCCAACUUUAAACGGACG
RNAcentral lists this microRNA precursor (197 nucleotides) under Oryza sativa Japonica Group (Japanese rice). RNAcentral describes it as "MIR812 microRNA precursor family". It matches the Rfam family "MIR812 microRNA precursor family". Lineage: Eukaryota; Viridiplantae; Streptophyta; Magnoliopsida; Poales; Poaceae. The record is from Rfam by way of RNAcentral.